This 534-nucleotide ribosomal RNA is filed under the name uncultured bacterium. RNAcentral's name for it is "bacterial SSU rRNA". It matches the Rfam family "Bacterial small subunit ribosomal RNA", at positions 127 to 653 of the family's 1533-position model. The record is from RNAcentral.
UUCCCAUAACUGGUGAAUAGCCCUCCGGAAAGGAGGAGUUAAUACACCGUAACAUAAUGAAGGUGGCAUCACUUGAUUAUUAUAGACUUCGGUCGGUUGGAUGGGCGUGCGCCUGAUUAGGUAGUUGGCGGGGUAACGGCCCACCAAGCCUGCGAUCAGUAACUGGUGUGAGAGCACGAGCAGUCACACGGGCAUCUGAGACACGGGCCCGACUCCUACGGGAGGCAGCAGUAAGGAAUAUUGGUCAAUGGACGAAAGUCUGAACCAGUCCAUGCCGCGUGAAGGAUGAAGGCCCUCUGGGUUGUAAACUUCUUUUAUCUGGGACGAAAAAAGGGAAUUCUUUCCCACUUGACGGUACCAGAGGAAUAAGCACCGGCUAACUCCGUGCCAGCAGCCGCGGUAAUACGGAGGGUGCAAGCGUUAUCCGGAUUUGACUGGGUUUAAAGGGUGCGUAGGUGGGUAGGUAAGUCAGUGGUGAAAUCUUCGAGCUUAACUCGGAAACUGCCAUUGAUACUAUUUAUCUUGAAUUAUCUG